UUGUCAAAUGCAGCUGUUACAUCCAGCUGUGGUGGCAAAGAGUCUUCCUUUAUAAGUGUUUGAAAGCAUCCCCUGAGAUGAACCAGCUCACUCAGACAUUGGCCAGUCAAACAGCUACUGAAUUGCUUAAAGUGGCCAACUACAUUCAGGCACAGAGCAAGAAAAGCAGAGAGCUGCCAGAAAAGGGGUAUCCCCACUGAGACUGCCGGUCCUUUAAGCAGGUGUUUAUAAAGUCACCACCUUGGUGGAGAACAACAAGGCUCACCUGGGGAUGACUGCACAUGUGUGGAUUCCACUGAGCUGGUUGUUCUUCCUGCUGCCUUGGGCUCUAAAAUGGGAGUCUCCUAGUUCAUUAUCAAGAGAAAAGCCAGACUGGUGGGAUGUUUCCUCCACAGAAAGACCUGCACCACCAUUGCCUUUACACAGGUUAACUCAGAAGACAAAGGAGUCCUAGCUAAGCUGGUGGAAACUACCAGGACCAAUUACAAUGACAGACAUGACAAGAUCUGCUAUCAUUGGGGAUAACAUUCUAUCAAAUUUAUGGCUCUCAUUGCUAAGCUCAAAAAGCAAGGCUAAAGAACUUGUCGCCAAACUGGGAUAAAGGUUUAAUGUUACCUUUACUGUACAUAAAAAUAA
This 636-nucleotide long non-coding RNA is filed under the name Homo sapiens (human). RNAcentral's name for it is "non-protein coding lnc-IPO5-2:1". Lineage: Eukaryota; Metazoa; Chordata; Mammalia; Primates; Hominidae. The record is from RNAcentral.